AGUGAACGCUGGCGGCGUGCCUAAUACAUGCAAGUCGAACGGAGUGGCGCCCGGGUGAUUAAUAUAUAGCUAACUUUCCCACUACUAAGGGACAACAGUUGGAAACCACUGCUAAUACCUUAUAGUAAUGGACAGGGCUAUAUCGUAUCAGCUAGUUGGUAAGGUAACGGCUUACCAAGGCGAUGACGAGUAACUGGUCUGAGAGGAUGAGCAGUCACACUGGAAGUGAGACACGGUCCAGACUCCUUCAGGAGGGAGCAGUAGGGAAUAUUGCACAAUGGGGGAAAAGCUGAAGCAGCAGCGCGGCGUAGAGGAUGACACUUUGCGGAGAGUAAACUCGUUUUCUUGGGAAAGCGGUACCCAAGGAAGAGGCACCGGCUAACUCCGUGCCAGCAGCCGCGGUAAUAC
RNAcentral lists this ribosomal RNA (408 nucleotides) under uncultured bacterium. RNAcentral describes it as "partial 16S ribosomal RNA". It matches the Rfam family "Bacterial small subunit ribosomal RNA", at positions 29 to 526 of the family's 1533-position model. The record is from RNAcentral.